AUACAUCUAACUGUUUUUUGAACAGUCUGAACUUGGUAUGUUGGGAGCUAACAUCAAAGAACUAUUUUCCCCCAUUCACAUGAGGACUGUGUCAAAUCUGCCUCCUAUCACUUAAGGAGGUUUUGGGAAAAUCAUUCACUUUCGUUUCUAUCACUUCCAGUAACUUAACAGUACGGCUCAGAUGUAAAACUCCCCUUUUACUUGUUCCUGUCACUUCAGCCCAAGCUUGUCUCAUGAUCUAAAAAUCUGUAAUAGGGAAGAGGGUGUGGUCUGAUCUUUCCCCUUCUAUUUUACCUCAUCUAGUUCCAGAUUCUCAAAUCAUAUAGGGCCAGGAGGAGAGGACCAAAUUAUGUCUUAGUUACCUGGCUGCUGGUGGUUGUCUCUGUUUUUUGUAGAGCACAGGUGUAACGGCUUUCAGGGUGGGGGUGGGGAACUCUCCACUGAGUAGUGUGCUGAUGUGGGAGAUCUCUGGCUUGGCCUCUUCCGGCCCUCCUCCCACUCAGCUCCCACCAAUGAUGUAUCAAUAAAACCUCUUGCUGCUGGAGAUCUGCUUACCUGGUGGCCAGGGUGGCAAGACAAGUGAAGCCUGACUAUGCCUGCAGCAUCCACUGUGGAAACUACUACAUCUUUGCCAUGCCAAACACUUCUGCUUAAGCAUGCAGGUGAGAAGGGAAGAUACAUGUAAUCUGCAUGUCUGCCACCAUUCCUUGUUACCCUUUUUCAUAUCCCAUGAGCACAGCACUCCAGCGGACCUACCCAAAAUAUGUGGGAGUUCAGUGAAACUCAAACAGCAUGCUUCUGGUCAGCCUAUACAGUCUCUGUCCUGGUGAGGAGCAUGAUCACCAACAGGCAAGAUCUUCUGGCCUUGAAGUUUCGCUUGAGUUAAAAGAGCUCAUCUCAGGACUUUCUGAAUUUUCAGCCCAUAUGACAUGGAAGAAGAGUUAGAAGGGGAAUCUGACUGCUUGGAUCAGGGACUGUCUGGCUGGUGGAACUUGAAUGUGCUGUUGUCCUCUUUCUGGACCUUAGAGAUGUACAGUGCGCCACUCUGAGGAUCAAGUCUGACCCUGCCUUUAAAUUUGGAUUCAAAGUACUUAGAUUUUCUGGAAUCCCAUUCUACAAUCUUCUGGUCGAAAGUAUAAAACCAGUCUCUCAUUGCACCUUACGAGAAACACCCACAGGUGUGGAGGGGCAACCCACCCCUUCAUCUGGUGCCCAACGUGGAGGCUUUUCUCUGGGGUGAAGGUACACUCGAGCGUGGUCAUUGAGGACAAGUCGACAAGAGAUCCCGAGUACAUCUACAGUCAGCCUUACGGUAAGCUUGUGCACUCGGAAGAAGCUAGGGUGACAAUGGGGCAAACUAAAACUAAAAGUAAAUAUGCCUCUUAUCUUAGCUUCAUUAAAAUUCUUUUAAAAAGAGGGGGAGUUAGAGUAUCCACCAAAAAUCUAAUCAAGCUAUUUCAAACAACAGAACAAUUUUGCCCAUGGUUUCCAGAACAAGGAAAUUUAGAUCUAGAAGAUUGGAAAAGAAUUGGUAAGGAACUAAAACAAGCAGGUAGGAAGGGUAAUAUCAUUCCACUUACAGUAUGGAAUGAUUGGCCCAUUAUUAAAGCAGCUUUAGAACCAUUUCAAACAGAAGAUAGCGUUUCAGUUUCUGAUGCCCCUGGAAGCUGUAUAAUAGAUUGUAAUGAAAA
Molecule: long non-coding RNA, 1691 nt
Filed under: Homo sapiens (human)
Lineage: Eukaryota; Metazoa; Chordata; Mammalia; Primates; Hominidae
Description: PREDICTED lncRNA (TCONS_00008771)
Source: RNAcentral